UGGCUAUGUAGGAAUGAAGCGUGUUUCUUCUCCUCCUGUACUCUCCCUCUCUUGACUGCGGAAAUGGAACAUCCUAAACAGUCUUUCUCUUGCCUUGGCUUAGCUGUGCUGUAGGAUGGGACCUGGGCUUCUGUGUUGAGGUCGUCUAAACUAUUCAUAUCCAGGAUCCGAUAGCUCUCUGCUUAUUAAUGGUCAGUCUUCACUGUUUCCAAUGGAAGAUGGAUUCUUGGAUGAUGGCCGUGGGGAUCAGCCUCUUCAUAGUGGCCUGGGUUCACCUCACUGCUUCAGUCACCAGAAUGGGGAAAGAGUGGAACGAU
Molecule: long non-coding RNA, 317 nt
Filed under: Homo sapiens (human)
Lineage: Eukaryota; Metazoa; Chordata; Mammalia; Primates; Hominidae
Description: HSALNT0098110
Source: RNAcentral